Long non-coding RNA from Eriocheir sinensis (Chinese mitten crab), 756 nucleotides. RefSeq lists it as uncharacterized. The transcript has 3 exons. The record is from RefSeq and is a predicted model, not a curated record. NCBI's taxonomy places the organism in Eukaryota, Metazoa, Arthropoda, Malacostraca, Decapoda, Varunidae.
CUACACUCUAUAUAGGAGUCGUGAUUACCGAGCUUUUCUUAUUUAUUUAUUCAUUUUUGCCCUUGAACCCUUUACUGUAAAAAAAGCACUGCUCCUAAAAAGAAAGUGGAGCGAAAAUAGAAUUAGUUAGUUAGUAUAGUUUCGAGUAGCGGGCUUUUUUUUUUAUUGUUUACUUUUUUUGUGCCUUUGAGCUGUCUCCUUUGUUUUAAAAAAAAAAAAAAAAAAAAAAAUAGUGAACAGGUUUUCUUUCAUGUACGAGGAAGCAAUAGGGAAUAAUGUUUAGUUUCCUUAUAUGUAAAAGAAUUUAGAUGACAUUUUGAACAGCAUAAGGUAUAGUUAAUUGUUGUCCCCUUCAUAUAUACAGAAAAGCAAUAGGAUAUAAAGCUUAGUAAAUUUACGUAGAAGAGCUGAUAUGUCAUUUUGUACAGCAUAAGGUAUAGUUAACCCAGUAGCAGCAGGGAUUAUGUUUCUUAAUGGUCCCUCUAAGCGAGAAAAAUGAGAAAAAUCAUCAAUCACACAAACCGUUUCAAAAUAUAUAUCAAAGCAUUUGUGAUCAGUUUAUGCAUCAUCUAUUUUAGGGGGUUUAUAUCAUGGCACAAAUUUGGCCCGUCGCUGCUACACGGUAAAGCCACAAAUUUGGCCCGUCGCUGCUACACGGUAAAGCCACAAAUUUGGCCCGUCGCUGCUACCAGGUUAAGUGAUCUUCCCUGAUAUAUAGAAAAGCAAUAGUGGAUAUGGUUUCUUAUGUGUAGAAGA